GGAGGAAAAGAAACUAACUAGGAUUCCCUUAGUAGCUGCGAGCGAAUAGGGAAAAGCCCAGCACCGAAUCUUGCGGCCGGCACCGGUCGCCGAGAAAUGUGGUGUUAGGGAGGGUCCGUUUAACUCGAGACGAUACGUCGCGUCCAAGUCCUUCUUGAACGGGGCCACAGCCCAUAGAGGGUGCCAGGCCCGUAGCGACCGACGUUCGUAGCGAGUGGAUCUCUCCUCAGAGUCGGGUUGCUUGAGAGUGCAGCCCUAAGUGGGUGGUAAACUCCAUCUAAGGCUAAAUAUGACCACGAGACCGAUAGCGAACAAGUACCGUGAGGGAAAGUUGAAAAGCACUUUGAAGAGAGAGUUCAAGAGUACGUGAAACCGUUUAGGGGUAAACCUGAGAAACCCGAAAGGUCGAAGGGAGAAAUUCAUUCGCGUUUCGGUCGAUGGCGUACACGACGUCCGAGCUACGAAUCGUCUUCGGGCGAGGCGAGCCUCACGUUUGUCGUACCGUCUCCGAACGCGUGCACUUUUCUCCUGGUAGGACGUCGCGAUCCGUUGGGCGUCGGUUUAAGCUUUGCGGUGGAGCUCUGGAGCGUGGCCUUUACGGGUCGUGUUCUAGAACCCGCGAUACCCGACCGGCACGCUCGACGGUAUAACGAUGGCGCGAGGCCGCUAUUAUUAAUAGCGUCCGACCCGUGGCAAGCGCGCCGAUCGCGUCGGUGACCGGACCUAGUGCCGAUCCUGACCGCCGGUGACUGUUGGCCGCGGUGUUCUCGGACAGACUUCGAAUACGCCGAUCUGCGACGCUUUAGCUUUGGGUACUUUCAGGACCCGUCUUGAAACACGGACCAAGGAGUCUAGCAUGUGCGCGAGUCAUUGGGACAUAAUUAAACCUAAAGGCGUAAUGAAAGUAAAGGUUUGCCUUGCGCAAACUUAGGGAAGAUGGGCGGUUUGCCGUUAAAAGUGGCCGCCCCGCAUUCCCGGGGCGUUUCGUUCUCAUCGCGAGAUGAGGCGCACCAAGAGCGUACACGCUGGGACCCGAAAGAUGGUGAACUAUGCCUGGUCAGGACGAAGUCAGGGGAAACCCUGAUGGAGGUCCGUAGCGAUUCUGACGUGCAAAUCGAUCGUAGGAACUGGGUAUAGGGGCGAAAGACUAAUCGAACCAUCUAGUAGCUGGUUCCCUCCGAAGUUUCCCUCAGGAUAGCUGGCGCUCGUAGCGUACGAGUCUCAUCCGGUAAAGCGAAUGAUUAGAGGCAUUGGGGUCGAAACGACCUCAACCUAUUCUCAAACUUUAAAUGGGUGAGAUCUCCGGCUUGCUCGAACUCAUGAAGCCGCGAGACACGGAUCAGAGUGCCAAGUGGGCC
RNAcentral lists this ribosomal RNA (1358 nucleotides) under Tychiodes sp. DDM-2009. RNAcentral's name for it is "eukaryotic LSU rRNA". It matches the Rfam family "Eukaryotic large subunit ribosomal RNA", at positions 52 to 1132 of the family's 3401-position model. The record is from RNAcentral. Lineage: Eukaryota; Metazoa; Arthropoda; Insecta; Coleoptera; Curculionidae.